ACGCUCGACACCUACGGGGGCAGCAGUCGGGAAUAUUGCGCAAUGGAGGAAACUCUGACGCAGUGACGCCGCGUAUAGGAAGAAGGUUUUCGGAUUGUAAACUAUUGUCGUUAGGGAAGAAAAAAGACAGUACCUAAGGAGGAAGCUCCGGCUAACUACGUGCCAGCAGCCGCGGUAAUCUGAGGCGGGCUGGCAAGGC
This 199-nucleotide ribosomal RNA is filed under the name uncultured bacterium. RNAcentral describes it as "partial 16S ribosomal RNA". It matches the Rfam family "Bacterial small subunit ribosomal RNA", at positions 328 to 539 of the family's 1533-position model. The record is from RNAcentral.